This 465-nucleotide ribosomal RNA is filed under the name uncultured Klebsiella sp. RNAcentral describes it as "bacterial SSU rRNA". It matches the Rfam family "Bacterial small subunit ribosomal RNA", at positions 338 to 795 of the family's 1533-position model. The record is from RNAcentral. Lineage: Bacteria; Pseudomonadati; Pseudomonadota; Gammaproteobacteria; Enterobacterales; Enterobacteriaceae.
CCUACGGGCGGCUGCAGUGGGGAAUAUUGCACAAUGGGCGCAAGCCUGAUGCAGCCAUGCCGCGUGUGUGAAGAAGGCCUUCGGGUUGUAAAGCACUUUCAGCGGGGAGGAAGGCGUUAAGGUUAAUAACCUUGGCGAUUGACGUUACCCGCAGAAGAAGCACCGGCUAACUCCGUGCCAGCAGCCGCGGUAAUACGGAGGGUGCAAGCGUUAAUCGGAAUUACUGGGCGUAAAGCGCACGCAGGCGGUCUGUCAAGUCGGAUGUGAAAUCCCCGGGCUCAACCUGGGAACUGCAUUCGAAACUGGCAGGCUAGAGUCUUGUAGAGGGGGGUAGAAUUCCAGGUGUAGCGGUGAAAUGCGUAGGGAUCUGGAGGAAUACCGGUGGCGAAGGCGGCCCCCUGGACAAAGACUGACGCUCAGGUGCGAAAGCGUGGGGAGCAAACAGGAUUAGAUACCCGUGUAGUC